AGAGAGUCUGUGACAGAAGCUCAGUAAGAGAGCACUGCUAGUGUGGAGGCCUUGGGUUCCACUCCAGCAGAAGAUGAGAGCCUCAGUUCUAGAUAUCCAGUGGAAAUGUUCAGUUGAAUACAUGAUUAAUCAAGAUUAUGAAGCCUGUUUUCAUUACUUCUCACUUGAAAAUCAAAGUGCUUUAUAAGACUUCUUACACAUUAUGUAAUGAUCUGCCUCAGCUCUUUGGAAAUGGCCCAUAGAACUGACCCCUCCUCAGGUACCACGGCUUUAACUCAUGUCAUUCAGCCCAGAAUUAUGUGGAUCAUGGAAAAAAGUUAUAAAAUCAAAAAUCUCACCAAUGUGUGAAAGAAAUGGAAAAUACAGCCAACACCUCCAAGAGCCCUGGGCCUUUCCAAGCUUCACCAUAGAAGCAAAC
Molecule: non-coding RNA, 418 nt
Organism: Rattus norvegicus (Norway rat)
Lineage: Eukaryota; Metazoa; Chordata; Mammalia; Rodentia; Muridae
Source: RefSeq, a predicted model, not a curated record